This 497-nucleotide ribosomal RNA is filed under the name uncultured bacterium. Its description in RNAcentral is "partial 16S ribosomal RNA". It matches the Rfam family "Bacterial small subunit ribosomal RNA", at positions 28 to 507 of the family's 1533-position model. The record is from RNAcentral.
GAUGAACGCUGGCGGCGUGCCUAAUACAUGCAAGUCGAGCGAACAGACGAGGAGCUUGCUCCUCUGACGUUAGCGGCGGACGGGUGAGUAACACGUGGAUAACCCACCUAUAAGACUGGGAUAACUUCGGGAAACCGGCGCUAAUACCGGAUAAUAUAUUGAACCGCAUGGUUCAAUAGUGAAAGACGGUUUUGCUGUCACUUAUAGAUGGAUCCGCGCCGCAUUAGCUAGUUGGUAAGGUAACGGCUUACCAAGGCAACGAUGCGUAGCCGACCUGAGAGGGUGAUCGGCCACACUGGAACUUAGACACGGUCCAGACUCCUACGGGAGGCAGCAGUAGGGAAUCUUCCGCAAUGGGCGAAAGCCUGACGGAGCAACGCCGCGUGAGUGAUGAAGGUCUUCGGAUCGUAAAACUCUGUUAUUAGGGAAGAACAAAUGUGUAAGUAACUAUGCACGUCUUGACGGUACCUAAUCAGAAAGCCACGGCUAACUACGUG